This 253-nucleotide ribosomal RNA is filed under the name uncultured bacterium. Its description in RNAcentral is "partial 16S ribosomal RNA". It matches the Rfam family "Bacterial small subunit ribosomal RNA", at positions 524 to 776 of the family's 1533-position model. The record is from RNAcentral.
UACGAGGGGGGCAAGCGUUAAUCGGAAUUACUGGGCGUAAAGCGUGCGCAGGCGGUUAUGUAAGACAGAUGUGAAAUGCCCGGGCUUAACCUGGGAACUGCAUUUGUGACUGCAUGGCUAGAGUGUGUCAGAGGGGGGUAGAAUUCCACGUGUAGCAGUGAAAUGCGUAGAGAUGUGGAGGAAUACCGAUGGCGAAGACAGCCCCCUGGACCAAUACUGACUCUCAUGCACGAAAUCGUACUGAUCAAACAGG